RNAcentral lists this ribosomal RNA (502 nucleotides) under uncultured bacterium. Its description in RNAcentral is "partial 16S ribosomal RNA". It matches the Rfam family "Bacterial small subunit ribosomal RNA", at positions 30 to 523 of the family's 1533-position model. The record is from RNAcentral.
AUUGAACGCUGGCGGCAUGCCUUACACAUGCAAGUCGAACGGCAGCAUGGGUGCUUGCACCUGAUGGCGAGUGGCGAACGGGUGAGUAGUGCAUCGGAACGUACCCGGAAGUGGGGGAUAACGUAGCGAAAGUUACGCUAAUACCGCAUAUUCUGUGAGCAGGAGAGAGGGGGAUCACAAGACCUCUCGCUUUCGGAGCGGCCGAUGUCGGAUUAGCUAGUUGGCGGGGUAAAGGCCCACCAAGGCAACGAUCCGUAGCGGGUCUGAGAGGAUGAUCCGCCACACUGGGACUGAGACACGGCCCAGACUCCUACGGGAGGCAGCAGUGGGGAAUUUUGGACAAUGGGGGCAACCCUGAUCCAGCCAUGCCGCGUGAGUGAAGAAGGCCUUCGGGUUGUAAAGCUCUUUCGGCUGGGAAGAAAUCGCAUCUCCUAAUACGGGGUGUGGAUGACGGUACCAGCAUAAGAAGCACCGGCUAACUACGUGCCAGCCGCCGCCGUAA